GUUGGUGCUCUAACAGCGGCACUGACCUUUCCAUAGUAAUUAGUAAGUGCUAUUUGUUGGGGUAGUUUAA
This 70-nucleotide microRNA precursor is filed under the name Astyanax mexicanus (Mexican tetra). RNAcentral describes it as "miR-430 microRNA precursor family". It matches the Rfam family "miR-430 microRNA precursor family". Lineage: Eukaryota; Metazoa; Chordata; Actinopteri; Characiformes; Acestrorhamphidae. The record is from Rfam by way of RNAcentral.